RNAcentral lists this ribosomal RNA (253 nucleotides) under uncultured bacterium. Its description in RNAcentral is "partial 16S ribosomal RNA". It matches the Rfam family "Bacterial small subunit ribosomal RNA", at positions 524 to 776 of the family's 1533-position model. The record is from RNAcentral.
UACGGAGGGGACUAGCGUUGCUCGGAAUCACUGGGCGUAAAGCGCACGUAGGCGGAUCUUUAAGUCAGGGGUGAAAUCCUGGAGCUCAACUCCAGAACUGCCUUUGAUACUGAGGAUCUUGAGUCCGGGAGAGGUGAGUGGAACUCCGAGUGUAGAGGUGAAAUUCGUAGAUAUUCGGAAGAACACCAGUGGCGAAGGCGGCUCACUGGCCCGGUACUGACGCUGAGGUGCGAAAGCGUGGGGAGCAAACAGG